Molecule: long non-coding RNA, 1201 nt
Filed under: Monodelphis domestica (gray short-tailed opossum)
Lineage: Eukaryota; Metazoa; Chordata; Mammalia; Didelphimorphia; Didelphidae
Description: lncRNA (ENSMODG00000045493.1)
Source: RNAcentral
AGAUGUUGAUGUGAAGUCUAUCAAGCACAGCAAAAACUGCCCUAGCCAGGUCUCCUCUUACUUCUCUUGUCUACUGCUAGCAUCUCCAGAGCUGGCCUUCCCUCAGAUUCCUCUAAUUCCCAGUUCCACACAACCAGUCACCAUGAGGACCUUCUACCUGGCUUUUCUGCUGUUCUUCAUGAUCUUCUCCUACACUAACACAGGGACCUGUAAACAAUUAUCUAUUUACCUUCUCUCUGUAUCAAGGAAAGAUAAAGACUGAAAAAUGAUUGGCAGAAUCAUGUGACUGGAAUCUUAUGAGCCUGGGAGUGUUGGAAUCUUUGGAAUUCGGUUGAGAGAAACUGUUUCUCUGGAUCUGAAGAGGAAAGGAGAGAGAAGUGUGGCCAAAUCUGUCAGAAUAUGAAUUCCCAAGUCACUAGCCUUUGAAGAUCCUUUGGCUGUGGUAAGGAUUUAUUCUUCAAUGAUCUGCUGGUUAGGAAUUGAGGAGCUGUCUUCAACUUGGAGGACUUAUCAAUUGUGGACAUUUCACCUUGGAUUCCUGUUUUGGCUCUCAGGGACUCUAUUGUUUUGUGGAAAAGGACUGCAUCAAGGUAAAAUAAAGACUGCAAAAUGAUUGGCAGGAGCAUGUGACUGGAAUCUUAUGAGCCUGGGAGUGUUGGAAUGUUUAGGAUUCAGUUGAGAGAAACUGUAUCUCUGGAUCUGAAGAGGAAAGGAGAAAGAAGUGUGGCCAAAUCUGUCAGAAGAUCAAUUCCCAAGACACUAGCCUAUGAAGAUCCUUUGGCUGUGGUAAGGAUUUAUUCUUCAAUCGUCUGCUGGUCAGGGAUUGAGGAGCUAUCUUCAACUUGGAGGAGUUAUCAUUUGUGUACAUUUCACCUUGGAUUCCUGUUUUGGCUCCCAGAGACUCUAUUGAGAGCUUUGUUUCAUUAAUAGGGAUACAAAUUUGGUAACCUCUGUUUUGUUACUGGUUUUUGUAUCUGUACAGAUUAGUAUAUAUCUACUUAUACCUGCUUAUUACACUGUAAUUCAGUUCAUGUAAGUCUUUCAAGGUUUAUCUAUGUUCCUCCUGUUUUCAUUUACAGCACAAUAGUAUACCAUUAUAGUCAUAUAUUGUUUAAGAGCCAUUUAGUAAUUGAUGGGUAUCCCUCACUUUCCAAAUCCUUGCACCCCUAAAGAGAGCUGCUUAUCUAUUUUUAUACUUCCC